AUCAGCAACAACAGCAGCCGAAGGCAACGGCUCUGCAAAAACAGUGGUAACAACAGGGCGUGAGAACUACUGUAAAAAUAAGUAGUCCUCAGUGGAUACAGCCCUCAAACUCAUCGGUCCAUCCACUAAGUCUACAGGGAUAAGCAGGAAUAGUAAAGAAAGUUAGAACAAAUCUACAGCUAAAUAUCGCUAUACUAUCAUACUUUAACUCUAACCCUCUGUAGAACAAUGUCAACUCAGACCCAAUCUCAAAUAAGGACUGUAAUCAUAUCCGUCCCUGGGACUGUGAACACAUCCGU
Molecule: long non-coding RNA, 299 nt
Filed under: Ananas comosus (pineapple)
Lineage: Eukaryota; Viridiplantae; Streptophyta; Magnoliopsida; Poales; Bromeliaceae
Description: long non-coding RNA (ACOM_LNC038327)
Source: RNAcentral